UCCCGGCCGGUCACCAGCCCUGCAGCCCUCUCCCUGGCUGCGCAGAAUCUUUGGUUUAGGCCUGGUGGGGCCCUUCUGCCUCCAGUAGGCACGUUCCAGGGCUUUAAACCCAGGAAAAAGUGAAGACUGGAGUAGGUAAAGGACCCAACCACUGUUUGGUCAAGUUCUUGGCCUGGAGACCCCAGCCAGGACAUAUACAGAGGACAGGAGGCUGGGUGGCCCCAGGCAGCUCAGAGCUCUCAGCAAAGCAGUGGCGCUGGGACAGAAGCCAACACCCUAAACCAAUAAGAGCACCUGCUGCAGGCCACACUGAAAGCUCCUGGUGUGGGGCUGUCCCCGAGGGACCCAGGGCACCAGGUGCCAGCCCCCUGCAUGUCUCCACCAUGGGUCCGUAGGGGUAGGUGUGUGACAUGGAGCCAACGCUCUCACAAUGACCGUGGCCAGGUCAUCCUGGCCUCAGUUUCCUCACCUAUUCUCUAAAGUCCCCUCAAACCCCAAACUUUGAUUCAUCACUUCUCAGUUUCCACCUCUAAAAGGUGUGUCUGCUUUUAUGAAAAUCUAACUGGUUCUAUAAUAAACACUGAAAUGAAAUAUGCAGGCUGAA
Cebus imitator (Panamanian white-faced capuchin) is the source of this 604-nucleotide long non-coding RNA. RefSeq lists it as uncharacterized. NCBI's taxonomy places the organism in Eukaryota, Metazoa, Chordata, Mammalia, Primates, Cebidae. The transcript has 2 exons. The record is from RefSeq and is a predicted model, not a curated record.